AGGCGCAAAAGUUUGCCAAUGUGUGCCUGGUUGCGUUUAGCCCAGACGCCUUGCGGCCGCUUUGCCUGACCAACGUCUGUGGGCGUGGAACAGGCCCUGGGUUCUCCUACUGGGAAGAAUGAAGUUCAGGUUCUCCAUGCGAUAUAUGGUUCCACAAUCCUCAGCGUGUUAACUGAAGCCUUGUUGAGUUUAACAAAGCUGCCAUUGAAGAUCUGGGGAAAGUGAAGAAGUUGCAACAGAGUUUUGGGCUCACACCAUUGAUACAUUUGAUCCUUAAGGCAAGCCCACCCCGCCUCACUCCCACCCUCUUCUACUUAAUUCAGGAUGUGAAUAGCACAUGCCUUCCAUCUUCAGACAAACACUGAGGCCUGGACAAUGACCUGCAUUAGGUAGAUAGAAUCUACUGAAAGCUAAAAGCCUUUUCCUGUGUCUUAGCAGCACGGAAGCCACGCCUCCUUCCCCCCAGUGUUUGUGCAAGCCCUAGAGAAGAGGAGACAGCCCCUGUGAUGUGUGAGGUUGAAUUUCCUGCCCUCAACCCAUCAAAUCAGGCAGAAUGAGGGCUCAGUCAGAACUACAACUACAAAAGAGAAAAAUUUUAAUGUGACUUUUCUUGUCUGCUCAGAUUUUUGGGUUAAGGUUCAUGCCAGCUACAUUCUUUGCAUAAUAAAAUAUAAAUAGAGUAUAAAUUGUUCUAUUUAGAGAAAACAGCAAAACAAUGCUCUCCCAAGGGCCCUAAUAAAUCACUCUCCAGAAACGUGGAUGUGUGUUGGAUUUACAGGAUUUCUAUGCCAAGCAGAGAAGUACAUGAAAACAGGAAAGCAAAAUGCAUAAGUUGCAAUAAUAGUUUUGUGGUUUAGCUGAAUAAUGUCCUAUAUCAACAGAGGAUAAUGAUUUUAGUUUUUCAGUUGCCCCAAGAUCAUUUCCAUUACUGAUGAGGCUUGAAAUGUCUGUGAAGAAGAGUCAUUGCAAUUGAUUUAUUUGUCUGGCAAACUUUUUGUCAGCAAAUUCACCACUACCUCAAAAAUCUCACUAGCUACUCUAUGCUUAAGACAUUAGAAGCAUAAGCCACAAUGAAAACUAACUCUUAGCAUUAGAAUUCUAAGAAGCAGUAAUGUAUUUAUGAUUUUAUGUUAAAAAUCUCCCAGAUGUCAGCAUUUAAAUCACAAUUCAGUAAUAUAAGUAAUUUGAAAUUAGAAAAUUUUAUACUUCACCAUUCUAUUUUCCUCUUGAAAUUGAACACAGUUUGAAAGAAUUAAGAAAAGAAGCUAUAAAAAAUAAAUUGUUCAAGGAUUCUUCCUGUUUCUAAACACCACAAGAUUAUGAUGAUAGAGACAUCAUUUGAAGUGGUAGAGAGUACUGUGAAAUAUCUAUAUGUGAAUAUAAUGAAAAUGAAAAAAUAAUCUGAUGAAUUUUUAAAAUUAAUCUUGUUAGAGUCAUUUUUGAGAAAUUGUAUGCAAGUGUAUUGAUUGAAAAUGACCUUCUCAUUCAAGAAAAAUUUAUUGAGCACUUACUAAGUGUCAAUAGGUGAAUGUGAAUAAAAUAGAUAUGGUCCCUGCCUUCUUGGAGUUGAAUAAAAUAGCAAACACUUAUUGAAUAUUUAUUAUAUGUUGUGCAUUAUAAUAUUAACCAAUGUUUAUUGAGUUGUUAUUAUAUGCCAACUACGCCAAUCCUGUCCUAAGCAAUUUAUGUAUGUUAACUAAUUUAAUCCUCACAAUAAAUCUAUGAGGUAGGUA
Molecule: long non-coding RNA, 1733 nt
Filed under: Pan troglodytes (chimpanzee)
Lineage: Eukaryota; Metazoa; Chordata; Mammalia; Primates; Hominidae
Description: lincRNA
Source: RNAcentral